GACGAACGCUGGCGGCGUGCUUAACACAUGCAAGUCGAACGAAGUGGCGAACGGGUGAGUAACGCGUAAUCAACCUGCCCUUCAGAGGGGGACAACAGUUGGAAACGACUGCUAAUACCGCAUACUGAAGGAGGGGAUUGCGUCUGAUUAGCUAGUUGGAGGGGUAACGGCCCACCAAGGCGAUGAUCAGUAGCCGGGCCUGGAGGGUUAACAGGCAACUUGGGACUGAGGCACGGCCCAGACUCCUACGGGAGGCAGCAGUGGGGAAUCUUCCGCAAUGGACGAAAGGCUUACGGAGCAAAGCCGCGUGAGUGAUGACGGCCUUCGGGUUGUAAAGCUCUGUUAAUCGGGACGCGGUACCGGAAUAGAAAGCCACGGCUAACUACGUGCCAGCCGCCGCGGUAAUAC
RNAcentral lists this ribosomal RNA (408 nucleotides) under uncultured bacterium. RNAcentral describes it as "partial 16S ribosomal RNA". It matches the Rfam family "Bacterial small subunit ribosomal RNA", at positions 28 to 526 of the family's 1533-position model. The record is from RNAcentral.